RNAcentral lists this transfer RNA (94 nucleotides) under Escherichia coli. RNAcentral describes it as "tRNA-Gln(ttg)". Lineage: Bacteria; Pseudomonadati; Pseudomonadota; Gammaproteobacteria; Enterobacterales; Enterobacteriaceae. The record is from RNAcentral.
CGGCUGAAUCUGGAUUAUCUGGCAAAUACCCUCAUGAAUUUUGGUUUCAUGAAUCUGAGAAUAUAAUUGCAUUUCGAUAACGCAUUCAGCUUGC